GAGAAGCUUGCUUCUCUGAUGUUAGCGGCGGACGGGUGAGUAACACGUGGAUAACCUACCUAUAAGACUGGGAUAACUUCGGGAAACCGGAGCUAAUACCGGAUAAUAUUUUGAACCGCAUGGUUCAAAAGUGAAAGACGGUCUUGCUGUCACUUAUAGAUGGAUCCGCGCUGCAUUAGCUAGUUGGUAAGGUAACGGCUUACCAAGGCAACGAUGCAUAGCCGACCUGAGAGGGUGAUCGGCCACACUGGAACUGAGACACGGUCCAGACUCCUACGGGAGGCAGCAGUAGGGAAUCUUCCGCAAUGGGCGAAAGCCUGACGGAGCAACGCCGCGUGAGUGAUGAAGGUCUUCGGAUCGUAAAACUCUGUUAUUAGGGAAGAACAUAUGUGUAAGUAACUGUGCACAUCUUGACGGUACCUAAUCAGAAAGCCACGGCUAACUACGUGCCAGCAGCCGCGGUAAUACGUAGGUGGCAAGCGUUAUCCGGAAUUAUUGGGCGUAAAGCGCGCGUAGGCGGUUUUUUAAGUCUGAUGUGAAAGCCCACGGCUCAACCGUGGAGGGUCAUUGGAAACUGGAAAACUUGAGUGCAGAAGAGGAAAGUGGAAUUCCAUGUGUAGCGGUGAAAUGCGCAGAGAUAUGGAGGAACACCAGUGGCGAAGGCGACUUUCUGGUCUGUAACUGACGCUGAUGUGCGAAAGCGUGGGGAUCAAACAGGAUUAGAUACCCUGGUAGUCCACGCCGUAAACGAUGAGUGCUAAGUGUUAGGGGGUUUCCGCCCCUUAGUGCUGCAGCUAACGCAUUAAGCACUCCGCCUGGGGAGUACGACCGCAAGGUUGAAACUCAAAGGAAUUGACGGGGACCCGCACAAGCGGUGGAGCAUGUGGUUUAAUUCGAAGCAACGCGAAGAACCUUACCAAAU
This 922-nucleotide ribosomal RNA is filed under the name Staphylococcus aureus. RNAcentral's name for it is "bacterial SSU rRNA". It matches the Rfam family "Bacterial small subunit ribosomal RNA", at positions 73 to 979 of the family's 1533-position model. The record is from RNAcentral. Lineage: Bacteria; Bacillati; Bacillota; Bacilli; Caryophanales; Staphylococcaceae.